RNAcentral lists this ribosomal RNA (301 nucleotides) under uncultured bacterium. RNAcentral's name for it is "partial 16S ribosomal RNA". It matches the Rfam family "Bacterial small subunit ribosomal RNA", at positions 509 to 807 of the family's 1533-position model. The record is from RNAcentral.
CAGCAGCCGCGGUAAUACGGAGGGUGCAAGCGUUAUCCGGAUUCACUGGGUUUAAAGGGUGCGUAGGUGGGCAGGUAAGUCAGUGGUGAAAUCUCUGGGCUUAACCCAGAAACUGCCGUUGAUACUAUCUGUCUUGAAUGUAGUGGAGGUGAGCGGAAUAUGUCAUGUAGCGGUGAAAUGCUUAGAUAUGACAUAGAACAUCUAUUGCGAAGGCAGCUCGCUACACUAUUAUUGACACUGAGAGACGAAAGCUAGGGGAGCAAAUGGGAUUAGAGACCCGCGUAGUCCCUGUCUCUUAUAC